CCUACGGGAGGCAGCAGUCGAGAAUCAUUCACAAUGGGGGAAACCCUGAUGGGGCGACGCCGCGUGGGGGAAUGAAGGUCUGCGGAUUGUAAACCCCUGUCAUGUGGGAGCAAAUUAAAAAGAUAGUACCACAAGAGGAAGAGACGGCUAACUCUGUGCCAGCAGCCGCGGUAAUACAGAGGUCUCAAGCGUUGUUCGGAAUCACUGGGCGUAAAGCGUGCGUAGGCGGUUUCGUAAGUCGUGUGUGAAAGGCCCGGGCUCAACCCGCGGACGGCACGUGAUACUGCGAGACUAGAGUAAUGGAGGGGGAACCGGAAUUCUCGGUGUAGCAGUGAAAUGCGUAGAUAUCGAGAGGAACACUCGUGGCGAAGGCGGGUUCCUGGACAUUAACUGACGCUGAGGCACGAAGGCCAGGGGAGCGAAAGGGAUUAGAUACCCUUGUAGUC
Molecule: ribosomal RNA, 446 nt
Filed under: uncultured bacterium
Lineage: Bacteria
Description: partial 16S ribosomal RNA
Rfam family: Bacterial small subunit ribosomal RNA
Source: RNAcentral